ACUACGGGAGGCAGCAGUGGGGAAUAUUGCACAAUGGGGGAAACCCUGAUGCAGCGACGCCGCGUGAAGGAAGAAGGAUCUAGGUAUGUAAACUUCCAUUAGCAGGGAAGAAAAUGACGGUACCUGACUACGAAGCCACGGCUAACUACGUGCAAGCAGCCGCGGCAAUAUGUAGGGGGCAAGCGUUAUCCGGAUUUCCUGGGUGUAAAGGGAGCGUAGGCGGUUUAACAAGUCAGAGGUGAAAGCCCGGGGCUCAACUCCGGGACUGCUUUUGAAACUGUUGAACUAGAUUGCAGGAGAGGUAAGUGGAAUGUCUGGUGUAGCGGUGAAAUGCGUAGAUAUUAGGAGGAACACCAGUGGCGAAGGCGGCUUACUGGACUGUAAAUGACGCUGAGGCUCGAAAGCGUGGGGAGCAAACAGGAUUAGAUACCCGAGUAGUC
RNAcentral lists this ribosomal RNA (440 nucleotides) under uncultured bacterium. RNAcentral's name for it is "partial 16S ribosomal RNA". It matches the Rfam family "Bacterial small subunit ribosomal RNA", at positions 338 to 795 of the family's 1533-position model. The record is from RNAcentral.